Molecule: ribosomal RNA, 570 nt
Filed under: uncultured bacterium
Lineage: Bacteria
Description: partial 16S ribosomal RNA
Rfam family: Bacterial small subunit ribosomal RNA
Source: RNAcentral
UGGGGAAUAUUGCACAAUGGGCGCAAGCCUGAUGCAGCCAUGCCGCGUGUGUGAAGAAGGCCUUCGGGUUGUAAAGCACUUUCAGCGAGGAGGAAGGUGGUGAACUUAAUACGUUCAUCAAUUGACGUUACUCGCAGAAGAAGCACCGGCUAACUCCGUGCCAGCAGCCGCGGUAAUACGGAGGGUGCAAGCGUUAAUCGGAAUUACUGGGCGUAAAGCGCACGCAGGCGGUUUGUUAAGUCAGAUGUGAAAUCCCCGGGCUCAACCUGGGAACUGCAUUUGAAACUGGCAAGCUAGAGUCUCGUAGAGGGGGGUAGAAUUCCAGGUGUAGCGGUGAAAUGCGUAGAGAUCUGGAGGAAUACCGGUGGCGAAGGCGGCCCCCUGGACGAAGACUGACGCUCAGGUGCGAAAGCGUGGGGCAGCAAACAGGAUUAGAUACCCUGGUAGUCCACGCUGUAAACGAUGUCGAUUUGGAGGUUGUGCCCCUUGAGGCGUGGGCUUCCGGAGCUAACGCGUUAAAUCGACCGCCUGGGGAGUACGGCCGCAAGGUUAAAACUUAAAUGAAUUGAC